AACGAGGUAUAGCAAUAUCCGAGUGGCGAAUGGGUGAGUAACACGUGAGUAACCUGCCUCAUACAACGGGAUACCUACAGGAAACUGUAGUUAAUACGGUAUAAGACCACAGAAACACAUGUUUCAGUGGUAAAAGAUUUUAUCGGUAUGAGAUGGACUCGCGGCGCAUUAGCUAGUUGGUGAGGUAACGGCUCUACCAAGGCGACGAUGCGUAGCCGACCUGAGAGGGUGAUCGGCCACAUUGGGACUGAGAUACGGCCCAGACUCCUACGGGAGGCAGCAGUGGGGAAUAUUGGGCAAUGGAGGAAACUCUUACCCAGCAAUGCCGCGUGAAUGAAGAAGGUCGUAAGAUUGUAAAGUUCUUUAGUCAGGGACGAAAAAAAUGACGGUACCUGAAGAAUAAGCUCCGGCUAACUACGUGCCAGCAGCCGCGGUAAUACGUAGGGAGCGAGCGUUGUCCGGAAUGACUGGGCGUAAAGGGUGUGUAGGUGGUUUGGCAAGUUAGAAGUGUAAUACCUGAGCUUAACUUGGGUGCUGCUUUUAAAACUGUUAGACUUGAGUGCAGUAGAGGUUGAUGGAAUUCCUAGUGUAGCGGUGGAAUGCGUAGAUAUUAGGAGGAACACCAG
Molecule: ribosomal RNA, 626 nt
Filed under: uncultured rumen bacterium
Lineage: Bacteria
Description: bacterial SSU rRNA
Rfam family: Bacterial small subunit ribosomal RNA
Source: RNAcentral